This 253-nucleotide ribosomal RNA is filed under the name uncultured bacterium. RNAcentral's name for it is "partial 16S ribosomal RNA". It matches the Rfam family "Bacterial small subunit ribosomal RNA", at positions 524 to 776 of the family's 1533-position model. The record is from RNAcentral.
GACAGAGGGUGCAAACGUUGUUCGGAAUUACUGGGCGUAAAGCGAGUGUAGGCGGUCUUCUAAGUCGGAUGUGAAAGCCCCGGGCUCAACCCGGGAAGUGCACUCGAAACUGGAAGGCUAGAGUAUCGGAGAGGUUGGUGGAAUUCUCGGUGUAGAGGUGAAAUUCGUAGAUAUCGAGAGGAACACCGGUGGCGAAGGCGGCCAACUGGACGAAUACUGACGCUGAGACUCGAAAGCGUGGGGAGCAAACAGG